GAUUAACGCUGGCGGCGUGCAUAACACAUGCAAGUCGAACGAUGAAACUUUAAUGAACCCUUCGGGGAGAAUUAAAGCGGAUUAGUGGCGAACGGGUGAGUAACGCGUGAGUAACCUGCCUUACACAAGGGGAUAGCCUUUGGAAACGAAGAAUAAUACCCUAUAAAACCAUAAAAGCACAUGCAAUUAUGGUCAAAGUGAUAGCGGUGUAAGAUGGACUUGCGUCUGAUUAGCUAGUUGGUGAGAUAAAAGCCCACCAAGGCAACGAUCAGUAGCCGGCUUGAGAGAGUGGACGGCCACAUUGGGACUGAGACACGGCCCAGACUCCUACGGGAGGCAGCAGUGGGGAAUUUUGCACAAUGGGGGAAACCCUGAUGCAGCGACGCCGCGUGAUUUAGAAGGCCUUCGGGUUGUAAAAAUCUUUUGUAUAGGAAGAAAAUGACAGUACUAUACGAAUAAGGUCCGGCUAAUUACGUG
RNAcentral lists this ribosomal RNA (477 nucleotides) under uncultured bacterium. RNAcentral describes it as "partial 16S ribosomal RNA". It matches the Rfam family "Bacterial small subunit ribosomal RNA", at positions 28 to 507 of the family's 1533-position model. The record is from RNAcentral.